Molecule: ribosomal RNA, 429 nt
Filed under: Triticum aestivum (bread wheat)
Lineage: Eukaryota; Viridiplantae; Streptophyta; Magnoliopsida; Poales; Poaceae
Description: partial small subunit ribosomal RNA
Source: RNAcentral
AUGAAGGGCGGCAAGGUCGACCAGUCGGGGAUGCGCCGGCGCAUGUCGUCGUGCUUGUCACUGAUCCUCCAGCCGCCAACUUCGUCGUCGUCCGCGGCAUUCCGGCGUGCGUGGUCGAUGCCAUCGAUCAAGGCGCUGGCGGCAGCAGGCGCGCUGCAGCAGUGGUGGGAGUUGAGACUUGGUUGGAUCAUUACCAGGAAACACUCCUUCACGCGUGCCCUCGAGAUGAGCGUGGACGUGGCCGCCGUGCUCGGAUGCCACUGCCUCAGCACGCUCCGACACGUCUUCUACAAGGGACGCGUCAAUGUGCACCGCCUCCUGGGCCGCGACGGCCUCCUGCUUGAAGGCGUCUUCGUGCAGGACUUCAGGUGCGACUGCAUCUACUACGACCAGAACUUCAACAAUGGAGACAUCGACGCCAGAUGCUAG